GGGCGCGUAGCUCAGUGGGAGAACACUGCCUUCACACGGCAGGGGGCGCUGGUUCGAACCCAGCCGCGCCCACCA
This 75-nucleotide transfer RNA is filed under the name Gammaproteobacteria bacterium. RNAcentral describes it as "tRNA-Val". It matches the Rfam family "tRNA". From Rfam's summary of the family: Transfer RNA (tRNA) molecules are approximately 80 nucleotides in length. Their secondary structure includes four short double-helical elements and three loops (D, anti-codon, and T loops). The record is from RNAcentral. Lineage: Bacteria; Pseudomonadati; Pseudomonadota; Gammaproteobacteria.